Molecule: ribosomal RNA, 468 nt
Filed under: uncultured bacterium
Lineage: Bacteria
Description: partial 16S ribosomal RNA
Rfam family: Bacterial small subunit ribosomal RNA
Source: RNAcentral
GACGAACGCUGGCGGCGUGCUUAACACAUGCAAGUCGAACGGAAAGGCCCUGCUUUUGUGGGGUGCUCGAGUGGCGAACGGGUGAGUAACACGUGAGUAACCUGCCCUUGACUUUGGGAUAACUUCAGGAAACUGGGGCUAAUACCGGAUAGGAGCUCCUGCUGCACGGUGGGGGUUGGAAAGUUUCGGCGGUUGGGGAUGGACUCGCGGCUUAUCAGCUUGUUGGUGGGGUAGUGGCUUACCAAGGCUUUGACGGGUAGCCGGCCUGAGAGGGUGACCGGCCACAUUGGGACUGAGGUACGGCCCAGACUCCUACGGGAGGCAGCAGUGGGGAAUAUUGCGCACUGGGCGGAAGCCUGAUGCAGCAACGCCGCGUGCGGGAUGACGGCCUUCGGGUUGUAAACCGCUUUCGCCUGUGACGAAGCGUGAGUGACGGUAAUGGAUAAAGAAGCACCGGCUAACUACGUG